RNAcentral lists this ribosomal RNA (332 nucleotides) under uncultured eukaryote. RNAcentral's name for it is "partial 18S ribosomal RNA". It matches the Rfam family "Eukaryotic small subunit ribosomal RNA", at positions 1470 to 1796 of the family's 1831-position model. The record is from RNAcentral.
CCCUUAGAUGUUCUGGGCUGCACGCGCGCUACACUGUCGGAUUCAGCGAGUCAUAUCCUUAACCGAAAGGUUUGGGUAAUCUUUUGAAAGUCCGACGUGAUGGGGAUUGAUCAUUGCAAUUAUUGAUCAUGAACGAGGAAUUCCUAGUAAGCGCGAGUCAUCAGCUCGCGUUGAUUACGCCCCUGCCCUUUGUACACACCGCCCGUCGCUACUACCGAUUGAAUGGUUUAGUGAGAUCUUCGGAUUGGCGCCUACGCGGCUUCUCUGAGGCCACGCUGGAUGCCGAAAAGUUGCUCAAACUGUAUCAUUUAGAGGAAGUAAAAGUCGUAACA